GUCUAUGGCCACACCACCCUGGACAAGCCCGAUCCCGUCUGAUCUCGGAAGCUCAGCAGGGUCGGGCCUGGUUAGUACUUGGAUGGGAGACCACCUAGGAAGACCGGGUGCUGUAGGCG
Molecule: ribosomal RNA, 119 nt
Filed under: Pteropus alecto (black flying fox)
Lineage: Eukaryota; Metazoa; Chordata; Mammalia; Chiroptera; Pteropodidae
Source: RNAcentral